This 70-nucleotide transfer RNA is filed under the name Camelus bactrianus (Bactrian camel). It matches the Rfam family "tRNA". From Rfam's summary of the family: Transfer RNA (tRNA) molecules are approximately 80 nucleotides in length. Their secondary structure includes four short double-helical elements and three loops (D, anti-codon, and T loops). RNAcentral also lists the same sequence under 1 other name. The record is from Rfam by way of RNAcentral. Lineage: Eukaryota; Metazoa; Chordata; Mammalia; Artiodactyla; Camelidae.
GGGUACCGCUCAGUGGUAGAGCGCCUGCUUAGCAUGCAUGAGGUCCUGGGUUCAAUCCCUAGUACCUCCA